Molecule: long non-coding RNA, 1006 nt
Organism: Rosa chinensis
Lineage: Eukaryota; Viridiplantae; Streptophyta; Magnoliopsida; Rosales; Rosaceae
Exons: 2
Source: RefSeq, a predicted model, not a curated record
UGGCUAUUGCACUUACAGUAGAAUAUUACAUUCAAGUACAUUUGUUGUUAUUUGGUUGCUCGAAUUAUGGUUUAGGUGACUAAAUUGCUAAGAGCCUAUCAAAUUGUUGUGGUUGCUUUUAUCGAUUUUGUGCUUAUCUGUUUUGGCUUAUUGUAUGUCUUGGUUCUGUUGCCACAGAACACAGAUUUAUCGGCUUGUUUCCAUUUUUUAUCCAUUAACUAAAUCCUAUUCUCUGUUUUUUAGUGGCUCCCAUGUGAGUCUGCUGCCCCCAUCUCCCAUGCAACAUUCUCAUGCGAUAGCCAGCUUAUUUAUGCCAGCUUUUUAGAAUCAUUAUCUUGUUGAAAUCUCGAGUAAUAAUUCUUGCGGUUUCAGUUUAUAGUACUACCCAAAUGGGAAAUAAUUACAGGAUCAAUAAUUGCACUGGCAGUUUCUAAAGUUGUAGUUUCUUUGUAGUCUGUCAGAAACAGUUAAUCUUGAGUAUGAACAUUCCUUCUUUUACUGUUGACAUGAAUUCUCUCUCUUAUAUAGGCAGCUAAGGUUAUUGUUAGCAGCUAAGGGGAAAGCACAUUGAUUGCACAAGACUAUAUGUACCAUCAUUGGUGUGAAGACUAGUUUCCAAGAACAGCUAGGAUUUGCUCUCUGAAAGACUGGAAGUAGCAAAUUAGCACAAGCAGUGGGCGGCCAAGAGUCGGAACUCAUAUACCCAAGAGUAACUUGAUGAGGUGCGGAUUGAAGCGGCUGACUACUUGCAGACUUUGCUAUAGCUAGAUCUUGACAAGCAAUAUGAUUUUGAGUAAGGCUAGAUUUUGUUGACCAUUUUGUAGUAGAUGUAGUGAUAUCAGGAUGAAUUGUGAACAAAUUAUACUGCAUGUAGUUAUUGCGCGCAGUAGUGGUAUCUUCUACACUAGCCUUAAAGUAGGUUAGGGUUUAUUGUGCAAAAUUUUUGAAACUACCUCAAGCUCUAAUUUUGGAUAGAAAUUAAUACAAUUCCCUAAUAUUUAAAGUA